Molecule: long non-coding RNA, 576 nt
Organism: Cryptotermes secundus
Lineage: Eukaryota; Metazoa; Arthropoda; Insecta; Blattodea; Kalotermitidae
Exons: 2
Source: RefSeq, a predicted model, not a curated record
UUUGGCAAUGUCUCUCUUUUGCAGAUGGGAUAUGCAGCAAAAGUAUGCAUGGGAAUUGAACCAGCGUUUUAUGUAGAUGCUGGCCCUCCGACAUUUGCUAUCAGCCCUUGUGGUCACAUAGCCACAGAGAAAACUGUGAAAUACUGGGCCAACAUUGGAAUUCCUUAUGGCACCGAUGGCCUUGAGGCGGCUUGUCCCUUCUGUGCUACAAGAUUAAUUGAUUAUCCAGGCUUUGUCCGCCUUAUCUUCCAGGAUGACAUGGCCUGAGAAGCAGACUUAUGUUGCCCAUUCUGGGCCCAUUUGACAUUUGAUCUAGACUCGUGCUUCUUGGGUAUAUGAGCAGUUUUAAUUUAUUGCCUAAUUUGGGAUGACAAGUUCAGAAGAAUGCCCUAACAAGACAGCCUGUAACUGAAAACUAAUGAAGCGUCAUAUGUCUGUCUUAUUAGACUGAUUUGAAAGGGGAAGCAAGAUAUGAUGAAGGCACAGUACAUUAUUUUUGUUAACCAUAGAAGAAUAUAUCAUUUGACAAUGUACCUUACGUGCUUUAGAAGUAGCAUUAAAGUAUUUUGUUCAUUA